This 253-nucleotide ribosomal RNA is filed under the name uncultured bacterium. RNAcentral describes it as "partial 16S ribosomal RNA". It matches the Rfam family "Bacterial small subunit ribosomal RNA", at positions 524 to 777 of the family's 1533-position model. The record is from RNAcentral.
UACAGAGGUCCCGAGCGUUGUUCGGAUUCACUGGGCGUAAAGGGUGCGUAGGCGGUCGGGUAAGUCUGAUGUGAAAUCUCUGGGCUCAACCCAGAAAUGGCAUUGGAUACUAUUCGGCUUGAGGUCUGGAGGGGGGACUGGAAUUCUCGGUGUAGCAGUGAAAUGCGUAGAUAUCAAGUGGAACACCAGUGGCGAAGGCGAGUCCCUGGACAACUCCUGACACUGAGGCACGAAGCUAGGGGAGCAAACAGGA